Molecule: long non-coding RNA, 726 nt
Organism: Astyanax mexicanus (Mexican tetra)
Lineage: Eukaryota; Metazoa; Chordata; Actinopteri; Characiformes; Acestrorhamphidae
Exons: 3
Source: RefSeq, a predicted model, not a curated record
GCCACCUAGAAAAAAAUAUAUACAUUUAUUUAUCACAAAGAAAUUCAACAAUAACAAGAUUUAUGACUUAUUUGGGGAAAAAUCAUAGUAAAUAAAUAUAGAUUACUACAAAAUCACAGUUUUAAACAAAAUACACAGAUUUUACAACUAACAGAGUAAAUGUACCCUGAAUAUCAGGACCAGUACAAAGAGUAACACAGGCUAUUGAGGAAUAUGAAUAAAGUUAUUAGCACUAUAGAGUGCAUGAACAUGAAAACGAUAUAAGAUACAUAUCCUGCACAUGAAAUACCCACCAGACCAACCAGGUAUUUGGAUACCAGAUAUAUAUAAAUCAGAUUAAACUAUACUAACAUGAAAUACCCGCCACAACAUCCAGGUAUUUGGAUACCAGAUAUAUAUAAAUCAGAUUAAACUGCACUGACAUGAAAUACCCGCCACAACAUCCAGGUAUUUGGAUACCAGAUAUAUAUAAAUCAGAUUAAACUGCACUGACAUGAAAUACCCGCCAGACCAACCAGGUAUUUGGAUACCAGAUAUAUAUAAAUCAGAUUAAACUGCACUGACAUGAAAUACCCGCCAGACCAUCCAGGUAUUUGGAUACCAGAUAUAUAUAAAUCAGAUUAAACUAAACUAACAUGAAAUACCUGCCAGACCAACCAGGUAUUUGGAUACCAGAUAUAUAUAAAUCAGUUUAAACUGCACUGACAUGAAAUACCCGCCAGACCA